Ornithorhynchus anatinus (platypus) is the source of this 1936-nucleotide long non-coding RNA. RefSeq lists it as uncharacterized. The transcript has 5 exons. The record is from RefSeq and is a predicted model, not a curated record. NCBI's taxonomy places the organism in Eukaryota, Metazoa, Chordata, Mammalia, Monotremata, Ornithorhynchidae.
UUUAUUCUGACAUUGGGAGAUCAAAGAAAACCCAGUAGGAGAUGACCAUAUGAAUUACUUGAAGUAAUCUCUCCAGUUUGUGCCAAAUUUCGAAGGAAACAGAAGAGUGAAAGCUUCCCAUGGGUAGUUCUCUCAACUAUGCUGAAUUGUACUGUCGCAAGAACUUUGUAGAGUGCUCUGAACAUGGCUCUUCAUUGCAAAUCUUCCUAACAUUAAUCUUUGGCGUAUUUCUUGACUACAAAAGUCCAAGGCGGGUGAUCAGAUGAUCAAAGUGUUGAUCAAAGACAAUGGCGGAGUUUCAAAUUUUCACUGCACAGAAGAAAAUGAUAAACCGCUUCCAUGUGUUUACUAAGAACACUCUCUGGUUAUGCAAUCCAGAACCACUACAGAUAAAAUCCUGGAAGAUGAGCCCCCCAGGUGGGAAGGCACUCAACAAGGUACUGAGGAAGAGCAGACUUCAGCUAUUACGAUAUAUCAAGUACCGUUCACAGCGCUGGGGAAGGUACACAAUAAUGACGUCAGACACAGUCCCUGUCCCAGAUGGGGCUCACAAUCUAAGUAGGAGAGAGAUCCCCGUUUUGCAGAUGAGGAGGGCUGUUGCUGCUUCUGCUUGCUCUCAGUUUCUACUGGGAUUCUCUUUAAAAAGAUGGAUGGCUGAAGAGGGGAAGGCCUAGAUUUACCUGGAGCUGAGACCUUGGGAAUAUUAGGCCCUUGGUUUAUCCUGAUUGUGACUGACAAGUGAAGAGAAGUGAAACACCUUGAUGCCCGAUCCAGGGGAUAACUUUACAUCACACCUGGGCAACUCCCGCUUUGAGCAUAUGAGGCAAGUUUCUCCUCCGUGCCGCUGUUCUGGUUAAUACCAUUUACACUUGUUCCGAGAGUGGAAAUUCCAUUGACGUCAAGAGAAGUUCCAGAUAUGGAACCCGCAGGAAAAAAUUGGAACGUGAGUUUAAGAUGGCGUAUUUGUUCAGCUCCAUGUUGUAUACGGAUAUGUUAGUCUAACUUCACUUAGGAAGAAAUUCACUCACCUACAUUUAAACGUCUUCUGUCUCUCACCAGGGCAUUAUGAACUUUGAAGGUGAAUUAAUUCAGUUAAGAGGAAAAUAGAGUAACACUGAAUGCCUUAUGAGCAGACAUUAAUUUUUCCAAAGUAUCUCAUCUAACCACAGGAAUAUUUUUCCCUAUGAAGUCGUAUUUAAAUAUUUAUUUUAAAAUGGCAAAGUGCCUUCAUAUAAAAACACAAAAAAGUGUUUGAAUUGGCAACAUUAAAGCUAAAUAAAUGCCUAAGUAUGGCUCAGAUAUUGACAUUCAUUAUUUCUCAUGAGAAAAAAAUGUACCUUAAAAGAAGAACUGCAAAUAUUGGCUAUUUUCUUGUUGUUGCAAAUCAGAGUGAGCUUAGAAAGUCUGGGGGUAAUUCACGUGUUCAUGAACUGUAAUCUCAAAAAAGAAAAAAAAGAAAAAGUGAAACAUCUCUUGUAAAUUUUACAAAAAUGGAUGAAAACAUCCACAACUGAAGACUGAUGGGGGCUUUGUCAGGGGCAUUGGUUUAUUAUGAAUUAAUUUGAAAGAAUAAUGGCGUUCUUAAGUACCAAGCACUUAAAUAGGGGCAAAUCAAUCAGCUCAAACAGUCCUUGUCCCACAUGAGGACCACAGUCUGAGUAGAACAGGUAAUUCUCUGAGGAAUGCUGAGGAGGAAAGAGAUAAUCAGAAAAAUUUAGUGACUUUCCCAAGGUCACACAAUAUGAAUGAUAAUCUAUAAUGUGUAUCCACAAUGGACAAUCUUUGAAUAUAGCCAGCUAGGGAGUGAAGAUGCUUCUGCUAUCUUUGCUCAUUUCCCCUUUCCUCCUUCUGACUGAGAUUUGGCCGGUAUUUCUCUGCGGAGCACCGUACUAAGUGAUUGGGAGAGUAAAAAACAAUAAUAAUGUUGGUAUUUGUU